AUGACAGAAAUUGAUGCUUGUCCUCUAUGCGGAGCCGAGGACUCAUGGAGACACUCACUUUUAAGCUGCACUAUGGCUAGGUGUGUAUGGGCUUUGUCAGAUGACGAUCUUGUUGAGAAAAUAUCUAAUAAUCUGGAGCCUAGCGCAAAGAACUGGGUGUUCAAUUUGCAUGAGAUUCUGAAUCAUGAGCAGUUCACGAGGCCGGUCAUCACACUAUGGGCGAUAUGGUAUGCACGAAGGAAAGCUGUACAGGCAACAGGGCACUCAACAGAUAGUACUGUACGAUGGACGGCUCCACCCGAAGGCACUUUCAAAUUCAAUGUUGAUGGAGCUGUAGCAAACAAUGGCAAGAUGGGCGCUUCGGCGGUGGUGUGCAGGAACCAGGAUGGCGUUUACAUGGGGUCCUCCACAUUAGUCUCUCGUAUGAAUGACCCAGCGACUUUGGAAGCAUAUGUGGUGAGGGAAGCUCUUGCUCUCGCUGAGGAUUUGGGCAUCUAG
This 498-nucleotide ribosomal RNA is filed under the name Triticum aestivum (bread wheat). RNAcentral describes it as "partial small subunit ribosomal RNA". Lineage: Eukaryota; Viridiplantae; Streptophyta; Magnoliopsida; Poales; Poaceae. The record is from RNAcentral.